CAGGAAGCACAUGUAUAUUUCUUUUAUUUAUAGGUAGAGUUUAAUUUUUGCAGAAUUAAGUAUUUGGGAAGAAUAAAAGGAAAGAAAGGGGAUGUAUCUGGUAGUGGAGUGUGUUUAAUUAUGUGUAUGCAUGGUGGAAGAACGAAUAAUCAACUCCAUCGGAUCACACCUCUGUAUAACGGUGGCGCACCAGAGACCUUCAGCUUCAGGUUCCGCUUCGGGCCAAGAAGACCCGGAAGACCCUUUCACCCCAAGGGAUGUGCAAGUGCAAGGGGGUACUGUAGGUUCGGUUCCGACCCAUGUGCUGUCACCCUCUUCCUCUGCCCAAACCAACACGGAGUGGGUCCCGGCAAGUGGUUUUCCCAUGGCGCCACGUUUUAUGCAUGCGCCUUCUCCAGGUUUGUCUUCUUCUCCCGGGCCUCCUCUUUUGGGCUCGGGCUCGGUUGGGCAGAAAAGAGCGCGUGAAGAUGACACUACUUCUGCGGCGAGUGGGGGUGAGGGUGGUUCGUCACAGACUGCGUCACAGGAAGAAAGCGGCGAGAGGAGGAGGAGAUACAGAGGGGUGAGGCAGAGGCCGUGGGGGAAAUGGGCGGCGGAGAUUCGCGAUCCUCACAAAGCGGCGAGAGUGUGGCUUGGCACCUUCGACACCGCCGAGGCUGCUGCCAGAGCCUACGAUGAGGCCGCAUUGAGGUUUAGAGGUAACAGAGCCAAACUCAACUUCCCCGAAAACGUUACUGCGGUUCGACCUCCUCACCUUCCCGAUUUUCCGGCCACCUCACUCUCGGGCUCCGUUGAUGUUCCAGCAGUAACUGGUUAUUCUCCGACGGUGAUGCAGGGGGCGCCGUUUCAGAGCUCCCCUGAUUUGCUUAGAGACUAUUGGGGUUAUUCUCAGCUUCUGCGGAGCACAGGGGAGUUCCAUGGACUCGAGCAGUGGUUCUAUGAUUCGCAAAUGGCAGCGCUUCAAUCUUCUUCAUCGUCGUUGUUGCCGCCACCGCCUUCGUAUGCACCAUCCUCGGCUUCCUUUCCUCUGUUUUCAAGUCAGCAAAUGGGAGUUUUCCGGCCGCCGGGGCAACAGCAUCACGGCGGAGGAGACAGUGGUAGCGGGUCAGAGUUUCCACCUUCGUCAUGGUCAGAUACAAGUAGUUAUCCUCCUCCACCUCCACCACCCGGUUGACGUGGAGUACACAGCACAGCCUUUGUUUUUAUACUAUUUUUUCUCUUUCUUUUGUGAAAGAAAGAACAGAAGUUGAAAAAUGGGUGGGUGAUGAUAAAGGUAGAUAGAAAGAUUGAGUGGUAGAAGGCUACAUUUUGAAGCUUAGUUCAGAGAUGAUAAAGACAAAGCAGCAUUUAGGUUUGAAGAUGAGAUUAUUCCAAAUUCUCAACUUAAUGGAUCGAUUUGAUAUAAACUUUUUGUCAACAAUCCACGCAAAGAUGAAGAAACCAACUUUUUGUUCUCAGAC
Vigna radiata var. radiata (mung bean) is the source of this 1460-nucleotide RNA transcript. It is a transcript of the gene named ethylene-responsive transcription factor ERF110, with no coding region annotated. The transcript has 3 exons. Lineage: Eukaryota; Viridiplantae; Streptophyta; Magnoliopsida; Fabales; Fabaceae. The record is from RefSeq and is a predicted model, not a curated record.